CAUCCAGAAUGGUGCCACCCAAGGGAAUUUACUGAAUGCAACAACAAAAAAACGUUUUACUAAUAGGGUAAACGUUGCCUAUUUACGGGAACGCAAACGCAUAAACACCCAUCCUCUGUGAGGAUUGAGCAAUGCCACGCGGGAAUAGGCAAGUAAGAGUUUAACAACUUUGCAGACGAACAUUCACGUGUCUCUAAGUGAAUCUGAAUCCGUCAAUCCAAGGACAGACUGCACAUUUUAUGGAGAAACCCACUUGAAGACGGCCAGCUUCACACUAAGAUCGCAACAGAAAAGCGAGAGGUUGGACUGCUCACGUGAUGAUUAACUCAUGAACUGGGGGCUCUCUGGACUGAACAUCAUUUGAAUGCUGUUGCUUACCUUCUGCUACCCUCCGCUGACCCCAGUGAGAACAUUCUGGAAGGAAACUCUGUUUAAGUGAACCACAUGUGAAGGCAUGGGUCAAACCACUAGGAGAUGUCCCUACCUGGGGAAUUCUUACCUCUCCAUCUGUAGGAGAGAACAAACAACCAGAGCACAAGGCAUUAUCAAAGUAGACUUUGAUUUCAACUUCAAAUGAAGCUUGGAGCAACUAAAACCACUGCAACAAUCAAGACCUACUCCUCAUCUGCAGUCGCCGCAAUC
Long non-coding RNA from Osmerus eperlanus (European smelt), 642 nucleotides. RefSeq lists it as uncharacterized. The record is from RefSeq and is a predicted model, not a curated record. The transcript has 4 exons. Lineage: Eukaryota; Metazoa; Chordata; Actinopteri; Osmeriformes; Osmeridae.